Syngnathus typhle (broad-nosed pipefish) is the source of this 191-nucleotide small nuclear RNA. RefSeq annotates it as U2 spliceosomal RNA. NCBI's taxonomy places the organism in Eukaryota, Metazoa, Chordata, Actinopteri, Syngnathiformes, Syngnathidae. The record is from RefSeq and is a predicted model, not a curated record. The transcript has a single exon.
AUCGCUUCUCGGCCUUUUGGCUAAGAUCAAGUGUAGUAUCUGUUCUUAUCAGAGUAAUAUCUGAUACGUCCCCCAUCUGGGGACCACAAAUUAAAUUGCUUUUUGGAAUAGGGAUUUGGAAAAGGGGCUUGCCCUGUUCACUCCACGCAUCGACCUAAUAUAGCAGUAUCUCCAGUCAUGGUGCACCCCCU